UGGGGGAUUACGUUCGGAAACGGACGCUAAUACCGCAUACGUCCUACGGUAGAAAGCAGGGGACCUUCGGGCCUUGCUCUAUCUGAUGAGCCUAGGUCGGAUUAGCUAGUUGGUGGGGUAAUGGCUCACCAAUGCGACGAUCCGUAACUGGUCUGAGAGGAUGAUCAGUCACACUGGAACUGAAACACGGUCCAGACUCCUACGGGAGGCAGCUGUGGGGAAUAUUGGACAAUGGGCGAAAGCCUGAUCCAGCCAUGCUGCGUGUGUGAAGAAGGUCUUCGGAUUGUAAAGCACUUUUUAGUUGGGAGGAAGGGCUUUUAAAUUAAUACUUUUUCUGUUUUGACGUUACCGACAUAAUAAGCACCGGUUAACUCUUUUCCCAGCUGCCGCGGUUAUACAGGACGGUGCAUUGCGUUAAUUGGAAUUACCGUGCGUAAGGCUCGCUUAGGUGGUUCGUUUUUUUUUGGAUGUUAAAUCUCUGGGGCUCAUCUGCGAACUGCAUUCAAACUGACGUAGCUAGAGUAUUG
This 527-nucleotide ribosomal RNA is filed under the name uncultured bacterium. RNAcentral's name for it is "bacterial SSU rRNA". It matches the Rfam family "Bacterial small subunit ribosomal RNA", at positions 137 to 651 of the family's 1533-position model. The record is from RNAcentral.